AUCCUAGUAAUCCGCGGGAGAAGGCGGAGUUCCUUUGGGACCGAAGUCACGGGUGUUCCAUGUUUUUUUUCAGUUGGUGUUUGGAAAUUCUGGUUUAAUUCCCGAAAGGGGGCAAACCCUUUUCUUUAUUUCCCAGGGAUUAGGUCGGGAACUCUAGGGAGACUGCCGGUGAAAAACGGGAGGAAGGUGGGGAUGACGUCAAGUCAUCAUGGCCCUUACGUCUAGGGCUACACACGUGCUACAAUGGCAGGUACAAAGGGCAGCAAUACGGCGAGGUGGAGCG
RNAcentral lists this ribosomal RNA (283 nucleotides) under uncultured bacterium. RNAcentral's name for it is "partial 16S ribosomal RNA". It matches the Rfam family "Bacterial small subunit ribosomal RNA", at positions 986 to 1269 of the family's 1533-position model. The record is from RNAcentral.